AGUAACAAGUGAUUAACUUACCCUUCAGUGGGGCAUAACCUCGGGAAACUGAGGCUAAUUCCCCAUAGUUGAAACGGCCUGGAAUGGUGUUUCAUCGAAAGGAUAUAACAAAUGCGUUAUAUUUGCUGAAGGAUAGGAUUGCUCCCGAUUAUGGUUGUUGGCGAGGUAAUGGCUCACCAAGCCUGUGAUCGGUAAGGGCCGUGAGAGCGGGAGCCCUGAGAUGGGUACUGAGACAAGGACCCAGGCCUUACGAGGCGCAGCAGGCGCGAAAACUUUACCAUGCACGAAAGUGUGAUAAGGUUACCCGGAGUGCUAGGAGUAUAACUGCUAGCUGUUAUAGUGUGUAGAUAACACUAUGAGAAAGGAGAGGGCAAGGCUGGUGCCAGCCGCCGCGGUAAAACCAGCUCUUCAAGUGGUCGGGACUAUUAUUGGGCUUAAAGUGUCCGUAGCCGGUUUGGUAAGUCCCUGGUCAAAGCUGACAGCUUAACUGUCAGUUCGCUAGGGAAACUACCUUACUAGAGGGCGGGAAAGGUGUGAGGUACUCCAGGGGUAGCGGUGAAAUGCGAUAAUCCUUGGGG
This 578-nucleotide ribosomal RNA is filed under the name uncultured archaeon. Its description in RNAcentral is "bacterial SSU rRNA". It matches the Rfam family "Archaeal small subunit ribosomal RNA", at positions 92 to 654 of the family's 1478-position model. The record is from RNAcentral.